This 904-nucleotide unclassified non-coding RNA is filed under the name Leishmania donovani. RNAcentral describes it as "gene:unknown". The record is from RNAcentral. Lineage: Eukaryota; Euglenozoa; Kinetoplastea; Trypanosomatida; Trypanosomatidae.
CUUGCAUAUACGCAUCCCCCGUCUAUUGGCGUAGAUCACUUUCGUUUUCUUUUUUUCUGCCUGUUACGCCGGCCAGCCCUUCCUCCUUGCAGCACACACGACCUCCACAUCGAGGGAGGGACUCUCUUUCUUUUCGACAUCGUUACCAGCUGAACGCCCGCUUUCCGUGACGGCACUGGCUCAUCUUAGCAUUUUCCUCUGUUCCCAUUCCACUCCUCCUUUUUUUGCGUUGUCCGACGCGCGCCGUCACCCACUCCCGCAAGUACACGGUACACGCCGCGUGACACAGAGCGUAGUAUCUCUCUCUCCCUCGCUGUGCGUGUUUCGUGCCCCGUCUCCAUUCUUUGAUUCGCACCUCGCCAUUGGUGCUCACUACUCGAAAUUUUUUUUUUUGGCCCACUGCUCAAGAGCCAGACCGCCUGUGUUUCGAACGUUACGAGCACAACCCGCAAGCAUCUUUGUAUCGGAGCUAGAGCGAGAGAGAGGGGCAAUAGAGAGAGUGAGUGAUCAACGCUCGACACAGACGGACUGGUUGCGCAGGUUCGACACACGGGAUAACACACAAAAGACGUGCUAGAGACGCAACGAAACGGUGCCGUGCGAGUGCGAAGAGCGAGCGGGAGAUAAGGAAACAUCGAAGAGGAAGAGCGAGAGACACUUGCUUCUGUUGUCCUUGGCACUCGCGCCGAAAACGACAAAAAAACAAAUCGAGGGAGAGGACACACACACACACGAAAAAGGAGGAGCGACACAGCGCAGGCGCCAUCCUCACCGGCGUUGUCCAUAAGCGCAAAACAACAAACGAAAGUGAAGAGAGCCGGCACUACCCCCCUCCCCCUCGCCCCGCAUCACCUCUCGUUUUUUUUUUUUCAACACCACCUUAUCCUGACAACUCGCCUCUUAG